ACCUGCCUAGUUUAGAGUGGUGGCUGGAGGCUGGCCUUCAUCCUCAGCCUAGAGUCAAGCUCUCCUGCUGAAUGAACCUUGUUCUUCUAUGUUAGAUGGACAUGAGCUGUCUCCCUAUCACAGCAACAGGUGAGGGAGGCCUCAGUGGGAUGGUACCUUUAAGUUGUAAGCAUGAUAAUAGAAGUAAGCGCUAAACAAAUGCUAGGGCUUAGUUUGGGAAUUUAUUCAUUCCACAAGCAUAUCUUAGCACCUCCCUUGUGUCAAGCUUCGUGAGUGACGUUGAGAGAAAGCAGCUCCGAAGGUUAGAGUGACACUUAGUAACACUGGUGUCAGAGCCUCCUUCCUCACUUCUUCCUUACUGUCCUCACCAGAGUCUAGCAAUCCCUUCCCAGAAUACCUUUCGGCCAAACCCUUUUCUCCUUUUCCUCUGCCAUUGUCCAGGCCUGGACAUGGUUAUAGGUUCUGGAAGAUUGACCUCAACGGCCAUCCAGCCCAGAGCCAUCCAUUCAGGCCACACUCCUUCGUAAGCCACAGUGAAGCUUGAGGGUGAAUCCAUGCACUAUCUCCAGGCUCCUCAGCCUGACACUAGGAGACCUUCCCCAGUUUCCCCCUUGUCUUCCUAGAAUUUUUUUGUCUCCUGCUUCUUUCCCACCUCUCCACAGCCCACCUACAUCCAUGACCUAGCCCAGCUAAACCAUUGCUGCAUCCCACAGGAAUGAUCACUUCCUGCUGUGGUACCUCCAAGCUUGUUCCACUUCAGGGCCUCUCUGUGAGGCCUGGUAGGUGACCAUAGUCCCUCCCAAUGGCAGCAGCCCACUGAGAUUCUGCCGUGAUCUUCUCCCCUCCACAGACAGCAUCAGCCACCCCAGAGGCUGUGCAAUUCAGAUAAUGUUUUAGCAAUGCUGUUAAAUCCUCACAACAAUGCAAGAUUGAAUCAUGUACCCAAGAUCAAACAAGUAAGAGGAGCAUGCAGGCACAUACACUCACACACACACACACAUGCUCACACACAUAUGCUCACAUACUCGCACACUCGAGAGCGCUCACAUGCAUACACACACACAGAACCACCUAUGGCCUCAUUUCCACUCCCUGCCACAGGCCUGGACCCACAUGAAAGCUGACCCACCAUGGAGGCUGCCUCUCAGGCUUGAAAAAUGACAGCCCUUCCCAGCUUGUGGUUACAAGCUCAGGCUCUGGCAUCAGACAGAUCUGGAUUUGAAUUCCGGCUCUGCAGCUGUUACAGCCCUAGGCAUCCUCACCUGUGCUGAGGGAUAAUGUCACCUAAUGGUAGGGUGCUCUCCGGGAUUAGAGAAGACUGUAAGCAAGAUCCUAGCCACCAGAGCCUGGCAUGUAACUGAUGCUCUCUAAAUGCUACCUACUGCUCGUGGUCACCUCUGAGUCCCAGUGAAGGGAAUCGAAAAGACCCCUCCCAAGCUCUCCUCUAACUCAGCCCAGCUGAUGCUUGACAGAGAGCUAAGUGAGCCUGUGACUCAGAGGCAAGCCUAGCACACCAGGCUAAGAAAAGGAGUCCCUCCGGUCCUUGUGAAGAACAAAUGCUCACCCUCAAGCACGUGCACAACAGUUUGCAAACUGCCAUCUGGGAUCUUAAGAGUUAGAUGCUGAAGGAGGUGCAAUGGCAGCCCAUGCUUUAGGCUCCUCAGGAAGGAGGUCAAAGGUCAUAAAACAGAACACAUGCUGAAAAAAAUCUCCCACCUCACCAGUUGCCUCACCAGGGAUCGCUGAACUCUAGGAGCUGGGGUUUACCUUGCGUUCCUUCUGUCUCCGGGUACCUCGGCUCACAGUGCCAAUUCUGACUGCUUCAAAGGGGAUGGGGGGCAAGCCAUAUGGAAAUCAGUGUGGCCCAGACCGUUUAUGGCAAAUAAAUUUGAGUUUUCACUUAGCAUAGCAGUCAUUCUUUACAACAGGAGUAGCCUCUCUGGAGAGGCUUAGCCCAGUAGAGCACAGCUAUGGGAUGGACGGGGAGCAGAGCAGGGCUAGAGGACUGUGCACAGGAGCCAGGACUUGGAAUGUGCAGAGACCUGCAAAGGAGAUGGGGGACUGGGAUUCCAAUGUACGCUUCGUUUAUUCU
Molecule: long non-coding RNA, 2092 nt
Filed under: Mus musculus (house mouse)
Lineage: Eukaryota; Metazoa; Chordata; Mammalia; Rodentia; Muridae
Description: long non-coding RNA chr7:96550482-96552574
Source: RNAcentral